GCUGCCGUGGCCUACUGGUUAGGGCUUUGGGCUUAUAACUGAAGGGUUCGGUUCGAUCCCCGACCAGUAGGA
Molecule: transfer RNA, 72 nt
Filed under: Alosa alosa (allis shad)
Lineage: Eukaryota; Metazoa; Chordata; Actinopteri; Clupeiformes; Clupeidae
Description: tRNA-OTHER
Source: RNAcentral